Molecule: ribosomal RNA, 263 nt
Filed under: Klebsiella pneumoniae subsp. ozaenae
Lineage: Bacteria; Pseudomonadati; Pseudomonadota; Gammaproteobacteria; Enterobacterales; Enterobacteriaceae
Description: partial 16S ribosomal RNA
Rfam family: Bacterial small subunit ribosomal RNA
Source: RNAcentral
CGGUAAUACGGAGGGUGCAAGCGUUAAUCGGAAUUACUGGGCGUAAAGCGCACGCAGGCGGUCUGUCAAGUCGGAUGUGAAAUCCCCGGGCUUAACCUGGGAACUGCAUUCGAAACUGGCAGGCUAGAGUCUUGUAGAGGGGGGUAGAAUUCCAGGUGUAGCGGUGAAAUGCGUAGAGAUCUGGAGGAAUACCGGUGGCGAAGGCGGCCCCCUGGACAAAGACUGACGCUCAGGUGCGAAAGCGUGGGGAGCAAACAGGAUUA